This 378-nucleotide ribosomal RNA is filed under the name uncultured eukaryote. Its description in RNAcentral is "partial 18S ribosomal RNA". It matches the Rfam family "Eukaryotic small subunit ribosomal RNA", at positions 592 to 976 of the family's 1831-position model. The record is from RNAcentral.
CAAUAGCGUAUAUUAAAGUUGUUGCGGUUAAAAAGCUCGUAGUUGGAUUUCUGUUGAGGAAGGCCGGUCCGCACUAUGUGCGUGUAUCUGGUUCUGCCUCGGCAUCCUCUCGAAUGCCGGACUGCGCUUAAUUGCGUGGGUCGGACUCGGGACUUUUACUUUGAGGAAAUUAGAGUGUUCACGGCAGGCAAGCGCCAUGAAUAUAUUAGCAUGGAAUAAUGAUAUAGGAUCUUGGUCCUAUUUUGUUGGUUUCUAGGGCUAAGAUAAUGAUUAAUAGGGACAAUUGGGGGCAUUCGUAUUAACGCGUCAGAGGUGGAAUUCUUGGAUUGCGUUACGACGAACUACUGCGAAAGCAUUUGCCAAGGAUGUUUUCAUUGA